RNAcentral lists this unclassified non-coding RNA (1863 nucleotides) under Hevea brasiliensis (rubber tree). The record is from RNAcentral. Lineage: Eukaryota; Viridiplantae; Streptophyta; Magnoliopsida; Malpighiales; Euphorbiaceae.
UAUUGGCUCUAUAGUAGUAACAUCACUGUAUAUUCAUGCUUGAAACAUAACAGACCCAUUGCUGCCUUGGUCUUGCAAAAAACAAUGCCAUGAGUGCAGUGUUAACCUACUAUCUUUGGAUUUGCAGACAGCUUAGAAGUCAUAUAUUCUUUUAGAAAUACAGAUUUCAGAUACUCUCACCUAAGGAUGAGUCAUUAUGCAUCAACAUUUUGUUUUCUUUUUGCUCUUAUGGAAGUGAAGAGAAUUAAUUAACACCCAUAAAUAAGAAUUUAUGUGCAUUGACCACAACUGACGCCUGAUGAUAUUAUAUAUGCUUGGCCUAAAUGCAAUUACAGGGAAGUGUUCAUGCAUGAUAUGCCACCAACACCAAAUCAAAACAAAGAUUUUAAGCCACUUUCUGCAGAAGGCUUCCACAUACAGAAAAUAACAAAGCACUGAGCUUCUGAAGGUAUUGCAGUGGCAUAAUGGUCCACUUCAUACGGAAAUAGAAGAGCAAUGCACUCGUAUGCACCUAUAUUUGCAAAUGCAUGAUGCCUAUAUCUUUAAAUUUUCCACUAGCUACUUAUUUUUUCGGCCUCCUUUCCCCUUCCCUGCUUUUCUCUUAGGCUUUUUUUUGCUGCCUUUGUUUUCUGCAUGACAACUGCUGCCUUCGUUUCCAGAAGCAACUGUAGCCUGAGAAUCAUUGAUCUUGCCUUUAUCAGAACUUUCACUAUUCAUAACCUCAUUAUUAACAUUUUCAUCAAAUUUGCUGUCAUCUGAUGCCUCCUUUCCAAGGCUUUCAUCUUGUUGCAACAUUUUCUGAUUGAUGAAAUUCUCCAAUCUUGGCCUUCUUGAUUCCAGCUUGCUAACAAGUUCUUCAAUUCUUGAAAUGUCAUUCUCAAGCUCCGGACCACUCAUAUCUAAUGCAGCAAACAGUUGCUUCAAUUCCUCGAGUAGAAUGGCAGCUUCCCCAUACAAGCUAUCAUUUUCAUUGUCAGGAGCGCCCUUCUGCAAGCAUCCAUUCAGUGCAGCACUUAAAAAGUGGAUUAUCUUCCCUAUAUUUGCCUUAAUUUUUUGAUCAUUUGCCCUUGUACUCUUGUCUUCUCCCUGAUUCAUCGAUUUUAAUGCUCCAAGUAUUUCCCACAGCUCGCCAGGUGGGCAAGGAAGGUUCUCCUCAUUAAGACUGGAUCCUUUGCCAUGAUCAUAUCCAGCUGGAGACGCUACUCCCUUGCAAGGGCUAGUAGUGUCCAAUGCAACAUUUUCUUUGUUAUUUUCAUUGGCUUUACUGGUAUGUGGAAACAAGAUUGUGAACAUAUCUUCUUUGCUUUGGCCAACCAUAUCCAAAAAUAUGGCAUUUGGGCUUGAAUAUUGUGGACAAGAUUUAUCCAAGCUCACAAUUACCAGUGGAUUUCCGAUUUUCUGAAAUGCAUCAGCAAGCACAUUUAAAUCUGCACUUGCAUUCAGAAACUUCCGUUUCUUCCACCUGUUCUGGAGGGCAUUAUAAAACUGCCUUGGAAGCUGAUCAGUGAUAUAAUUCAUACCCAGCAACUCAAAAAGCAAGUCCCUACACAAACCAUAGUUCCAAGAAAGCAAACAUGCUAUAACAACUAGUCUCAAUAUCACAAAUGCAUAGCAGUCCUUUGCAUUUGUGUGACACUUUCUAAUCCACUCCAUCAUAUCCAUCUUAUUAUAAAGAAGCUGCCGAACAAUGUUGGCUAAAAACCCCAGGAUGCCAUUGGCAGAUUGUGGUGCCAGUUCCACCGAACUGGAAGUUUGGCUGGCAUCACAUUCCAGGUAGAUAAGCCAUUCCGUAAAAGAAGAUUUUGUGGUGAGAAAAAACCCGCGAGAGUAAGAUAACAAAAUCAGUUGGCGCUCAACAAGGUA